UACGUAGGGGGCAAGCGUUAUCCGGAAUUACUGGGUGUAAAGGGAGCGUAGACGGUUAAGCAAGUCUGGAGUGAAAGGCGGGGGCCCAACCCCCGGACUGCUCUGGAAACUGUGUAACUGGAGUGCAGGAGGGGUGGGCGGAAUUCCUAGUGUAGCGGUGAAAUGCGUAGAUAUUAGGAGGAACACCAGCGGCGAAGGCGGCUUACUGGACUGUAACUGACACUGAGGCUCGAAAGCGUGGGGAGCAA
RNAcentral lists this ribosomal RNA (248 nucleotides) under uncultured Lachnospiraceae bacterium. Its description in RNAcentral is "partial 16S ribosomal RNA". It matches the Rfam family "Bacterial small subunit ribosomal RNA", at positions 524 to 771 of the family's 1533-position model. The record is from RNAcentral. Lineage: Bacteria; Bacillati; Bacillota; Clostridia; Lachnospirales; Lachnospiraceae.